Molecule: ribosomal RNA, 460 nt
Filed under: uncultured bacterium
Lineage: Bacteria
Description: partial 16S ribosomal RNA
Rfam family: Bacterial small subunit ribosomal RNA
Source: RNAcentral
CCUACGGGUGGCAGCAGUGAGGAAUAUUGGUCAAUGGGCUUACGCCUGAACCAGCCAAGUCGCGUGAGGGAAGACUGCCCUAUGGGUUGUAAACCUCUUUUGUCAGGGAGCAACGCCGGCUACGUGUAGCCGGACUGAGAGUCCCUGAAGAAAAAGCAUCGGCUAACUCCGUGCCAGCAGCCGCGGUAAUACGGAGGAUGCGAGCGUUAUCCGGAUUUAUUGGGUUUAACGGGUGCGUAGGGGGGAUGUAAAGUCAGCGGGAAAAUCGCGGGGCUCAACCUCGCAGCGCCGUUGAAACUGGCGGUCUUGAGUAGUCGAGAGGUAGGCGGAAUGCGUGGUGUAGCGGUGAAAUGCUUAGAUAUCACGAAGAACUCCGAUUGCGAAGGCAGCAUACCGGCGGCCAACUGACGCUGAAGCACGAAAGCGUGGGUAUCGAACAGGAUUAGAUACCCUUGUAGUC